AGUGGAUGUAGGAAAUGGGAUCCACAUGUGUGAGGUGAGGGAACGCCCCUAAUUGCAACGGGCAGCUGAGCAAACCUGACUGAAGGCUUCCAACUGCAAGGCUGACUGAAAACCUGCCCCUAAACAAACCCAAGAAGUUUAAUAGCUACUGUGGAGACUGCAAUUGGAUGCAAAUUUUGGGUCUGGCUUUUCAGAGAUGACACAGCAAGCCCCAGGUCAGAUGUAUGCCCAGUUCACAUCGGUCAGGAGAAGAGUGGGAGAGGAAAUUGUUAUCACAAUUGCAAAAGCCUGGCAGAAAAAUUAUUACAGCUGUUUUUAAGAAUGGGUUUCCCACAUCACCCAAUCUCAAGAGACCACCUUGAACACUGCUUGGAAGGAAAGCAGCACUGAAGACAGCCAACUGCAAAAUAACCUGAGUGGCUUCCUCAUCCCACUUUGUCAAGAGUUCUCUGAAAAAGGAAAUGAAGACUUACAGGUUCCUAACUUCACAAGUCCUUUAGAAACAGAAAUGGCUCACAAAGGGAAGCAGAUACCCAUGCAUUUUGGAGGUCAGCCUCCUUUACCAAGGCACAGAGAAGGGAGCUAACUGGCUUGGUGUGCUGUCACCAGGGGCAGAAGGCGAUGCUGGCAGAAGCACUGGCUGUGUGUGGCUGUCCACCUUCCUUACCCUGGGAGCAGAUCCAAAGAUCAUACACUGGGAAAAGCUUAAUGCGUUUUCAUGUGAAAAAUAACCACCUUAGGAAGUGGGCCACAGUCCCACAGGAUAUCCCAGCAUCUCAGCGCCAGGCAUUUCAGCUUGCUGUUGCUGUAGGGCAACCCUGCAAGGAUGGAAAAAUGGGUAGGUUUUGGGCAGACAGGCAGUGUGGGAUGUUUUGCUACAGGUCGGGAAACUUCCUGAGGCUGUUAGACAGGAGGUGCAGGUCAAGUGUGUUUGGAGGUGAGUGGGUGGUGUGAAUCCCCCUCUCCUGAAGAGUUUUCCUCAGACCAAGCUUGGCACAGCCCAGGGUAAGUAGGCCUCAUGCAGCUGAAGAGAGGUUUUGUUUGCUUUCUUGUUUGCUGGUGCAAGGCUUCUCAGAGAGGCUGCUACGAGAAGUCAGGCUGGUAUUUUAACUCGAGUCCAGAAGCAUCAGCCCUGACGCAGAUUGGAGUGGAAAGUUCUCCUCUUAGAAAAACUGAAAUAAGAGGGUGGUUUCGCUCUGUGUACUGCUUGGGCCAGGCAGCUAUCAUUACUGACUUUCAGUCCUCAGUUCAACACGCGCUUAGAGCUCUAGCUCAGAAAUUGCGUGUCCUCUUCCCAUGCAGAGAGGAAAAAGGCAGCUCAGGUCCUCCUGCAUUGCAUGCAUGGUGAGCAGCACAACAUCUUGCUGGCAGCUGCUAAGUGCUGCUCAGCGUGGGCUGCCUCUUAUGCAACACCUGGGCAGUCCCAGGUGCAGACAAACAGGGUUGUGAAGCACAGUGCUUGCAGAACUCUUCCCUCCUUCCUUGUGAAACUCCCUCCUCCAAGCUACUGAAAUCCUGGGAUAAUAAUUAACUAAGUUAAAACUUGCUCCGUAAUCGCAGCCAUGUGCACUUUGCUGGGUGCGUUCAAGUUAGAAAUGUUUGCAUUUUAAGGCUCUUUCUGCGUGAUGGUCUUGCAGCACUAUGCAUACAUUCACUCAUUUGUUUUCACGUUAUGCUUUGUGUUUUAUUUUCAGUUGGAGGGAUGACAAGCUUCUUUUCAGGGUGUCCCUUGAAAGACACACAGGAAAAUUAAUCGCGUUACCUUAAACUGGGAAUAUAAAAAGGAUUUAAAUUGAAGGUGUGGGGGCCUAUUCCUUCCAAGCAAGAGCACUAACCCCCAGGUUAAGCUCAAUAAAUGGGCAGGGCAUCAGGGGACCAGUCUGCUCGGAGAGGUGGUGAGACCUUCAUGGCCACGGGCAGUGGUGGACAGGUGCAGGGCUGUGUGACCACUGCUCAGAACGGUGACAGCACCCAAUGCAGCUGCUUGUGAUGGCUCUAAAGCAGUGACAUUACAGAAAUGAUUGAGCAGAGAAAAACCCAUCUUUCUUCUGAUCCAGACUGGAAAGUCCUGGUUUGGAGAACUGGACAAGCAGAUGACCUUGGGAAAAGCUGAGAGCUGGAGUGAGGGGGAGGGAAGGAAGCCAGACCUCCAGGGAAGGGGUGGUUCUGUUUCAAGCCCUCUGAACUUUGGUUUCUUACACUACAGCCUGAUAAAUGUAGCAGCAGUUAAGACUUUUGGCUCUGAUGUGAGGGCUUCAGAGAGCUGUGGCUGGCUCUUGGAGAUGAGGAGAGGCUGUGCAGCCUCUGCUCCUGUCCCAAAUAAAUAAAUUAAAGCUGUGGGGUAAAGCCAGCAGCUGUUUUUUAAACAGAUUAAGGGUCUUAGUAUCCUCCUUGCCUUUUAGUGCACUGAGCCUUGCUGGGGCAGGCAGGCAGCAGGGCCCACCAGCUGCACGUGGGGCCAGUUUAUUGCUAAACCUUGUGUCUUGGCCCUGUCUGGCCCAGUAGUGUUUCUGUGCUAUGUCUGGUAUGUUAAAUACCCAAGAGUCAAUAAAAACAGGGAGCCACUUCCUAAUGAUGAAGGGCUGCAGGAGGAGAAGAGCAAGAGUUAAACCAGCGUAGGAGUUAAAUCUUGAAGCGCAGGCCCCUCAUGCUGUGAGCUGCCGAACACAUGGGCUGCCCAUCCUACCUCUCCUUGCUGAGGGUAGAAAGGCUGAGGUGAGACACCUGCACCUUCACAAUUUCUACAGCGAAUUAAAGAGAAGGGUUCUGAAUCUGCUGGGGGGUAAGAGAGGCUUGCAGGGAGCCAGGAUACUAAGAGGAAGAGGAGGGUGUGGGAGGAAAUAGAGUUCAGACCUGUGUGUGCAAUAUAAGGAAGUAUGGGAAUAUCCCUGAGAGAUUAUCAGAGAGAUCUCCAGUUAGGAGCAAAGGGCACAGGCUGGACACAAAAAUGCUAGCUCAUGCAGUUCAGCACAUGAAAGUGGAUGAGUGAAUGAGCUCACAGGGAAGCUGGUGCAGGAGAACAGGAGCGACCCAAGGGAAGGGCUCAGUCUGGAAUGCAGGAAAGAGCGGGAAAAGGUGGAUGGUGCUGCUGGGUGGGAGCAGAAGGGAGGACAAAGGUGCUGAGGAGGUGGGCUGAUGGAGAGAACUGACCCUGCUAAUAACAGUAGGUGUGACUACAUUAAGAAAAAAUACCAAGGGAAUUCCUAAGGAAUCAGAGAAAUGUACUGCUGUGUGCUUGUCCUGGCUCUGAAGAACAGCAGGGAUGAGGGACCUUGUGGUGGGAAGUCCCCAGCAGCCCCAGGGAAGCAAUGUCCGUGGUGUGAAGGCAGCAGAAGCUGCGCUCCCAGGAGGGAAUAGAGUUGUGAUACCAUGGGAUAAACCAGAAGGAGAAUGUGCUAUGGGG
This 3403-nucleotide long non-coding RNA is filed under the name Gallus gallus (chicken). Its description in RNAcentral is "lncRNA (ENSGALG00010007178.1)". The record is from RNAcentral. Lineage: Eukaryota; Metazoa; Chordata; Aves; Galliformes; Phasianidae.